UCAAAGAAAAUGGAGGUCUCUGAUAUUCUU
RNAcentral lists this non-coding RNA (30 nucleotides) under Mus musculus (house mouse). The record is from RNAcentral. Lineage: Eukaryota; Metazoa; Chordata; Mammalia; Rodentia; Muridae.